Non-coding RNA from Salmo salar (Atlantic salmon), 52 nucleotides. The record is from Rfam. NCBI's taxonomy places the organism in Eukaryota, Metazoa, Chordata, Actinopteri, Salmoniformes, Salmonidae.
UGCAUGUAUGAAUGUAAGUCUUUGGAUAAAAGUGUCUGCUAAAUGGCUUAUA